This is a non-coding RNA of Equus caballus (horse), 354 nucleotides long. The record is from RefSeq and is a predicted model, not a curated record. NCBI's taxonomy places the organism in Eukaryota, Metazoa, Chordata, Mammalia, Perissodactyla, Equidae.
CGCGCGGGCGCAAAACAAAGGGCCAAACAUGCUCCGUCCGGCUCUGCCUCCGCCUUGGCGCGCGCCGGGCCCGGGUUACCUGCGCAGAACCAGUUGUGAUGUAAAAAAAUGUGACUCCUCGCAGGAAAGACAGGCCACCUGAAAAGAGCAAGACCCUGGAGGAUGCGAGACUAUGAAGGGAGAGAAAGGGGUCCAGCUGUCUCCCAGCCACCGCAGCUGAGGCACUGCGUGAAGCCAUCUUGCAUCCUUAGCUCUGUCGAGUCCCCCCCAGCAGGAACUAGCUGCAUCUGCCAAGUCUGCCCAAGUUGCAGAAUCGUGAGCAAAUAAAUGACUGUGUUUGUUUUAAGGCUUUAA